UUAAUCUCUUUAAAUGGCGAGAUUAACUUUGCUCAAUUAAUUUUUUUUUUUUUUGUCUCUUUCAUAUAUAUCAAUCAAAUAUAUAAUCCAUUUGCUCACGUAUUUUUUUUGUUAAUCUUUAGCGGCAAUCUUUGGUUGUACUAAAUCUAUGCUUUUAGUUAUCUUUAAUGAAUUUUUUAUUCAGUAAAAAAAUAUAAUAAAUGUUGAAUAUAAAUUAUAAGGUCAUUGGAGCAACGCCGACGUUACCUUCAACUACCAAUCAAUCGACCCUUCUCGUUGACGGAAACGCACAGGUGAGGCAUGGCGAAGGUCCCUAAAACUUCAUUAAUGUCUUCUCUCCGAUUGUUUCUGAGCUAGUAGGAGAGCUAAUCAAACUCAUCAGGUACUAUGAUCUCUUCUUGAAGUUUGAUUACAUUGAUCUUCAUGUUUUAAAGUGUCAAGCUUGAUCAGAGCUUUAACGUCUUCGCAUUUGAUCACUUUAAAUUGCUGUUGCUGCUAGAUUGCAAGUGGGAUUUGCUUUUUGGAGCCAAGGAUAAUGGUGUUGGUGCUAGCUCUAGGGGAUUUAUACAUACCCCAUAGAGCAGCCGAUCUGCCUGCGAAGUUUAAGUUGAUGCUUGUUCCUGGCAAGAUCCAACAC
This 637-nucleotide long non-coding RNA is filed under the name Manihot esculenta (cassava). RNAcentral describes it as "long non-coding RNA (MESC_LNC003554)". Lineage: Eukaryota; Viridiplantae; Streptophyta; Magnoliopsida; Malpighiales; Euphorbiaceae. The record is from RNAcentral.